ACCCGCGCCUGAAUGUAUAGGGCGUGUGGAGGGAACGUGGGGAAGUGAAACAUCUCAGUACCCACAGGAAGAGAAAACAAUAGUGAUUCCGUGAGUAGUGGCGAGCGAAAGCGGAAGAGGCUAAACCAGUCAGAUGUGAUAGACGGCAGUCGUUGUCUGGCUGGGGUUGUGGGAUCAUUCUUCUUGCUUCUGCCGAAGUGAGCACAAGUCAGAAACCGUUGUGUUAGCUGAAUUGGUCUGGGACGGCCAACCGUAGACGGUGAGAGUCCGGUAAGCGAAAACUCAACGGCUUGUGUGGAUGACUCCCGAGUAGCAGCGGGCCCGUGAAAUCUGCUGUGAAUCUGCCGGGACCACCCGGUAAGCCUGAAUACUCCCUGGUGACCGAUAGCGGACUAGUACCGUGAGGGAAAGGUGAAAAGUACCCCGGGAGG
RNAcentral lists this ribosomal RNA (431 nucleotides) under Nocardia cyriacigeorgica. Its description in RNAcentral is "partial 23S ribosomal RNA". It matches the Rfam family "Bacterial large subunit ribosomal RNA", at positions 150 to 534 of the family's 2925-position model. Lineage: Bacteria; Bacillati; Actinomycetota; Actinomycetes; Mycobacteriales; Nocardiaceae. The record is from RNAcentral.